This 331-nucleotide unclassified non-coding RNA is filed under the name soil metagenome. Its description in RNAcentral is "partial contains 5.8S ribosomal RNA, internal transcribed spacer 2, and large subunit ribosomal RNA". The stretch from base 1 to 120 matches the Rfam family "5.8S ribosomal RNA", at positions 35 to 154 of the family's 154-position model. The record is from RNAcentral.
GAUGAAGAACGCAGCGAAAUGCGAUAAGUAAUGUGAAUUGCAGAAUUCAGUGAAUCAUCGAAUCUUUGAACGCACAUUGCGCCCUCUGGUAUUCCGGGGGGCAUGCCUGUUCGAGCGUCAUUAUAACCACUCAAGCUCUCGCUUGGUAUUGGGGUUCGCGGUUUCGCGGCCCCUAAAAUCAGUGGCGGUGCCUGUCGGCUCUACGCGUAGUAAUACUCCUCGCGAUUGAGUCCGGUAGGUCUACUUGCCAGCAACCCCUAAUUUUUUUUAAGGUUGACCUCGGAUCAGGUAGGGAUACCCGCUGAACUUAAGCAUAUCAAUAAGCGGAGGA